AACCUGGUUGAUCCUGCCAGUAGUCAUAUGCUUCGUUCAAGGAUUAAGCCAUGCAUGUCUCAGCGCAAAUGGAACAACAGUGGAUCUGUGAAUGGCUCCUUACAUCAGCAGUCAUCUGUGCGAUAAAGAGUGCUUGAGCAAGGUGCAUGCUCCAAUGGACAUCCACAAUAACCUUGUGGCUGAUACACGCAAGCAAGUGUCUGUCAUGCGAUGUGGGGUUGGCUCUGCCUUCACCACGCUGAUAGACUGCUAGCAGCCUUUGAAAGACCAGCGCCAGCAAUGGCAGUGUUCAAUGGAUGAAUCUGGCUGUUCCUACUGGACAAUGCUCUGGCAGAUAAGCCCUGCUUCGGCAGGCAUGCUUGAUCGCAUGAACUUCUGACCUAUCAGCUUGGACUGUGCUGUAGUGGACCACAGUGGCCUUGACGGGUAACGGAGAAUCAGGGUUCGAUUCCGGAGAGGGAGCCUGAGAAAUGGCUACCACUACCAAGGUGGGCAGCAGGCGCGCAAAUUGCCCAAUACAAAGCCAGCUUGUGAGGCAGCAACGAACUGCAGCAAACAUGCCCACUUCUGUGGGUUUGUCUUGGAAUGGAUGCUAUCCAAACACAGCCAUGAGCAACAAGUGGAGGGCAAGUCUGGUGCCAGCAGCUGCGGUAAUUCCAGCUCCAUUGGUGUAUACUAACAUUGCUGCUGUUAAAACACUCGUAGUCUGCCACUGGGAUGCAGGUCUGGCGGAUGGCUGGCUGGCCGGGUUCGCUCGGUUGGCUGGAUACAACCUUCGUCAGUAUGUUCCUGCUCCCAAGUCAAGGAUGCUGAAAGGCUCCUGCAUGAAGUCUCCUUCAGUGAAGGCCAAAGCUAUCUUGCAGUGAACGCUUGCUUGGGACAACAGAUGGAGCCUUGUGCUUCCUGAGUAUCUGCCCAUAACCGGAGUACAGCAUCAGAGCAACCCUGGUAAACUCAGCGUGCUUCAAGCAACCUUGAAAUGCUUGUAUGCCAUCCAGUGAAUUGCACAGCAACGAUCGGACUUGGCUAUGAGUUGUGCUGGCCUUGGUGCCAAAUCUGAGCAAUCUGGGGCAUAUCCCUGACUGGUUCCGAGCCUCGGCCAAGGUCCAGUCCAGGUGGUGUGUUUCCAACCGGAUAUGAUGGAAGCGUUCCAAGUGGAGGAUACUGCAGCGCCAGAGGUGAAAUUCUUAGACCGCUGCAUGAUCAACUGCAGCAAAGGCGCUCUGCAAGUGCAUGUUCGUCGAUCAAGAAUGAGAGCCUGGGGAGCAAAGAUGAUCAGACACCGUCGUAGUCCAGUGCAGUAAACCAUGCCAGCAAGGCUUUGGUGAAGCAAGAUUACCUACUCCAUCAGUGCCAUGCCCCCUACAACGAGAAAUCCACAGCCUGUGGGUUCAGGGGGAAGUACUGUCGCAAGGCAGAAACUUAAAGGAAUUGACGGAAUGGCACCACAAGGCGUGGAAUAUGCGGCUUAAUUUGACUCAACACGGGGAAUGUUACCAGGUCAGGACACUGUCAGGAUGGACAGAUUGAGAGCUCUUUCUUGAUCCAGUGGAUGGUGGUGCAUGGCCGCUCCUGAUCGGUGGAGUGAUUUGUCUGGUUGAUUCCGAUAACGGGUGAGAUAUCUGCCUUCCAAUAGCCUCUGCCACGCAUUUGUAGGGAUGCCAGUUGGUGAAGCUUGCGAUCCAGCUGGUGCCUGAGUGAGCAGGGUUCAGCUUCUCUGAGGUGCUGUGUCUGUUACCAAAGACAUGCAUGCUAGAGCCAACAGCAGGUCUGUGAUGCUCCCAGAUGUCCUGGGCCGCACGCGCAUUACAUUGACGCAGUGAAGGUGUUAUGCAUCCUUGUGAUGCCCAUCUCAGAAGUGAGUUGGAAACCAUCCAAGUCUGUGCUGUACUGGGGAUAGAUGAUUGCAACUGUCUGCCUUGAACGAGGAAUGCCUAGUAUGCUUGUGUCAUCAGCACAAACAGAUUGUGUCCCUGCCAUUUGUACACACCGCCCGUCGUUGCUACCGAUGAGGGCAAGGCAGAGUCAUCAGGAGACAGCUCUCCUCGGAGAUGCCAUUGAAAUUGGGCAAUGCCCUGCCCUUAGAGGAAGCAAAAGUCGUAACAAGGUUGUUGUAGGUGAACCUGCAGAAGGAUCA
This 2137-nucleotide ribosomal RNA is filed under the name Trachelomonas hispida. RNAcentral describes it as "bacterial SSU rRNA". It matches the Rfam family "Eukaryotic small subunit ribosomal RNA". The record is from RNAcentral. Lineage: Eukaryota; Euglenozoa; Euglenophyceae; Euglenales; Euglenaceae.